GGGCUGAAAAAUAAAUAUCAUUUCAGUGAGAGACAACAUGAUUUCCAAAUUUCCAUUCACGAUGAGGGUUAGGAAGGUGGUGAGGAGUGGGAAAUGGAGACCGGAGUGUGUUCAGUGAUUUCCUACAUUUGUUUGUCUUGGCUUUUCUGCCUGGAGUUGGGUAUGGAUAAUUCUAGACCUCCCUAUUCCUAGCUGAACUCGUCCACCUGAGAGGAUUCUGAGAAUUUACCUUGUGCGGUCAACAAUCCUCAGAGCCAAUGAUAACUCUGGUCUUCAAACAUGUUGCUUAAUUUAUUCAUAAUAACAUUAGAGACCACAAACAAUAUAUAUAUAUAUACACACUAUCUCUAUCUCAAUCUUGCACUCAUUCCUCCAUGUGCUGCAGUCUGGGGUUUGCUCAACCUUUUUGAAUUGUUCUGUCAAGUUUUUCAAUAUGCUGCUAAUUUUCAAAAUGAACAUCAGACUUCUUCCUUUUGAUGCCUGUUACACUUGGUAUACGUGACCCUUCUUUCUCCCAUUUUCUCCUCUUCCCUUUCUGACAGUGCUUUAUCAAAACAUUUCAUGUAUUCCUUGAGUCAAAGUUCUGUCCAUAACCUUCUCAUCUGCUCAAUGGACAUGUCUCAACUGCCAAUAAUCUAUACUUUUUUCUUUAAUUUUAGAUUCACAAACACAUCUGCUAAGACAUGUGGAACUUAAAGUAUUCAAAGCUGAAUGAAUUAUUGUACGACAAGUCCACUGUAUUAUUUACUUAAUUAGUGAUAUCUAGACCAAACUAGAUUCAUCUAAAUUGAACCACUUUAUCUUGCCACAAAUAACGGUAAUGAUAGCAGUGAUUGAUCUCUCUCCUCCCCCAACCUCCUGCCCACCCUUGGGGGAAGUUGGGCAGGAAGGGUGGGGGAGAGGAAGAAAGAGUAACAGAAACCUUUCCACUUUACAGCUUUAAAAUUAUUCCUUCUAACGUGGAUCUACUGAGCGCCAACUUGGUGCUUCUCCCACUCACGCCUGGCCAGGGCGUGUAAUGACUACAGUGUUGGCCGGAUGUUGCUGGUACUCACUAUCUGAUCCAGACAGGGAAACAGUCACGCAUGUUGAACCAUGGGAGAAAGGAAGCAGGAAAACAGCGGGCCAGACAGGGAUGUGCAGAGGGGUUCGAGGUGUUGGAACAGGAGGAAUUGUUUCUACAGAAUUUUGCCUGUCAUACAAAUUAUUUAUCCUCAACCUGAAAGCAAGUGAUGGGUCUUAUAACACACACAGACCCUCCAUAUAUUAGAGCACUUGGAUUGAUGUAUAUAAGAUAUACACAGCCCACUACAGAUCUAUGGGACUGGUUUGAAUCCUUCCUUGAUGAUGAAGAGGACCUAGAAGUGAAGGCUGGUGGAGGCUGUGUGAUGACCAUUGGAGAAAUGCUACCAUCUUUUCUCACAAAACUGGAACGGUUUUCUACCUUGUUUCCAAGAAUUCCAGUUCCAGUUCAAAAGAAUAUUGAUCAACAGAUUAAAACCCGACCUAGAAAAAUUAAGAAAGAAGGGAAGGAAGGCGUUGAGGAAAUAGACAGACAUGUUAAACGCAGAAGUUCAAGGUCUCCAAGGAGAUCUCUGAGUCCACGGAGGUCCCCAAGAAGAUCAAGAAGUAGAAGUCAUCAUUGAGAGGGCCAUGGGUCUUCUAGUUUUGACAGAGAAUUAGAAAGAAUUUGACAGAGAAAGAACGUCAGCGACUAGAGCGUGAAGCCAAAGAAAGGGAGAAAGAACGCCGAAGAUCUCGAGGUAUUGAUCGGGGGUUAGAACAGCAGAAGCAGAAAAAGGCACAGAAGUCGCAGCCGGAGUCAUGAUAGGAAAGGGGAUAGAAGGGACAGGGAUCGGGAAAGAGAAAAAGAAAGUGAGAGAGGUAGAAGACGAGAUCGUGACUAUGAUAAGGAAAGAGGAAACGACCGAGAAAGAGAGAGCGAUCAAGAGAACUGUCCACGGAACAGAGAAGUAGGGGAGAGGUAGAAGACAAGAAACAUAAAGAAGACAAAGAUGACAGGCGGCACAGAGACGACAAAAAAGAUUCCAAGAAAGAAAAAACACAGGAGAAGCAGAAGCAGAGAAAGGAAACACAGAAGUAGGAGUCGAAGUAGAAAUGCAGGGAAACGAAGUAGUAGAAGCAAAAAGAAAUGAAGUAAACAUAAAAAUGAAAGUAAAGAAAAAUCAAAUAAACGAAGUAGAAGUGGCAGUCAAGGAAGAACUGACAGUCUCGAAAAAUCAAAACCAUGGGAACAUAGCCCCAGCAAAGAAAAAUCUACAAAGCGCAGUGGAAGCAAAGAACGUUCCCACAAACGAGAUCACAGUGAUAGUAAGGACCAGUCAGACAAACAUGAUCGUCGAAGGAGCCAAAGUAUAGAACGAGAGAGCCAAGAAAAACAACACAAAAACGAAGAGGAGACUCUGAGAAAAUAUUUUGUACAAGUGGAUCACAUUGAAUCCUAUAAAUGAUUAAAUCUGCUAUUUUUCUCCCAAGUUGAGGCUGUGCAGUAGUUCGCACUCCUCAAGCUCUCCCUGUAGGCUGCAUUUUCAUUUCCUCUUUUGUGUAGGGAAGUGCCUUUGUAAUUCCAUUUACUGCAUUGAUGUUUUCACUCAGUGUUAAGUUUGGUACAUGAUGCACGGAUUGUUCUUGCAUUUUUAUUGCUUGUUUUUGAAAGGUACAGUCUGUACAUAUGUCCGGAAAUGUUUUAAUUCUUUUGGCAUGGUUUCCAUGUUGGUCAAAUUUGUAUAAGGCAAAAAACUGCCACUAAUCUAUCUUUGUUUUGUAGGUGUGGGAUUAUGGCUUGUGUACUGAAGUUAGCAUGGCUGUGCCUUUCAUAAUAGAAUGCUAAAGACUUUGAGAAUGGAUCUUGGAUGUCUGUUAUAGGAGAAAUACGUGCUGUCAAUAGACAGGAAGGCAGCAUUGUAGGAUUAACAUUCUUGUCCAUUGUAUAGUAUCUUGGAAGGCUCUUAUUAAUAUGCUAUGCUUAAUAUUCUCCACAGCUACCCUUAGGGAGAAUUUAUGAGAAGUUAGUUUCUGAUGCAGAGGUUUUUUUGGCUGUGAUUUCAUGAAAAGUCCUUUUAGCAUUUUACCUCAAAGGGACACUUAGUACUCCUAAAAUUUAUUCACUUAGUUUUCCUUUUUUAUUUGAAAAAAUACAUGACAUGUAAUCUUUUUUCUUGAAUUCUUCCUCAGAUUUUGAAGUACUACAUUAAAGAAAAAAAUUAAUGUCUAAAGCCUAGCAUUCUUGCAGAACCCUGUACUAACAUGUUCAGGGAGAUAGUGGGGCAAAUGAGUAGAGAAACAGAUUCAAGCCCCAAGCUUCCAAAACAUUUUUAUAAGUGGAAAAUCCUUAAAUUAUGAAACAGCUCGAUAUAGUGUCUUUUUUUUUAAUUCAGAACUUUUAAAAUUGAUUAUGGAGAUUGCUAUUGGAGUUAAGUUAAUCUAGAAAAGAGGAGUAUUAAAAGUAAUGCUAUGCUGCAUUAUUUAAGACUAUCAGCAAAUUAUUUGAUAGAUUGUUCUUAUGACAUGUAUUCUGAUUACAGAGAACCAUCAUGAGUGUGGAAUAAAUACUGAAUUAAAUCCUUUAUCCUGGGGGAAAAAAAUGAUAGUAGUGAACAUUGAGCAUUAAGUGAGCAUCUAUUAUAUUAUAUAUAUGGCAUUCCAAUGAGCAUUUAACAAACAUUAUUUCAUUUAAUCCUUAAAAUUGCCUUAGGAGAUAAUUGUUAAUGUAAUUCUGAUUUUAUAGACAAGGAAUCUGAAACAUAGAGAGGUGGGGUGUAGUGAUUUGCUAAGGUCACACAGCAAAUUACUACAGAAUUAGUAAGGGGACAGAAUUUGAAGUCAGACUGUAUUCCAGAGCCUACAGUGUUGACCCUCACAAUACAUUACGCACAUAGAAAACCACCAUAUCUCAGUCCAGCGUAUUUCUUCUUCCCCAUAUUUAUUGCCAUAAAGUGAUUUGUCAUCAUCUGUCAGGCAGACCUCUAUAAUAGCUUCCUAAAUUGUUUCCUUUCUCCAAGAAAUUUAUGCCAUGAUUAUAA
Molecule: non-coding RNA, 4043 nt
Organism: Callithrix jacchus (white-tufted-ear marmoset)
Lineage: Eukaryota; Metazoa; Chordata; Mammalia; Primates; Cebidae
Source: RefSeq, a predicted model, not a curated record